This 467-nucleotide ribosomal RNA is filed under the name uncultured bacterium. Its description in RNAcentral is "partial 16S ribosomal RNA". It matches the Rfam family "Bacterial small subunit ribosomal RNA", at positions 29 to 507 of the family's 1533-position model. The record is from RNAcentral.
ACGAACGCUGGCGGCGUGCUUAACACAUGCCAGUCGCACGGAAAGGCCCUGCUUUUGUGGGGUGCUCGAGUGGCGAACGGGGGAGUAACACGUGAGUAACCUGCCCUUGACUUUGGGAUAACUUCAGGAAACUGGGGCUAAUACCGGAUAGGAGCUCCUGCUGCAUGGUGGGGGAUGGAAAGUUUCGGCGGUUGGGGAUGGACUCGCGGCUUAUCAGCUUGUUGGUGGGGUAGUGGCUUACCAAGGCUUUGACGGGUAGCCGGCCUGAGAGGGGGACCGGCCACAUUGGGACUGAGAUACGGCCCAGACUCCUACGGGAGGCAGCAGUGGGGAAUAUUGCACAAUGGGCGGAAGCCUGAUGCAGCAACGCCGCGUGCGGGAUGACGGCCUUCGGGUUGUAAACCGCUUUCGCCUGUGACGAAGCGUGAGUGACGGUAAUGGGUAAAGAAGCACCGGCUAACUACGUG